Molecule: unclassified non-coding RNA, 212 nt
Filed under: Hevea brasiliensis (rubber tree)
Lineage: Eukaryota; Viridiplantae; Streptophyta; Magnoliopsida; Malpighiales; Euphorbiaceae
Source: RNAcentral
AGACGUUUUGUGUGUUAUAUAGGGAGAGUGUUUUUAAGUUUGUGGGUAGUGGUAGUUAUUAAUAGUUUUAGUAAGUGUUACGGUUUAUUUUAUUAUUAUGUUGAGGUUUUAAUUUCGUAUUUUAGAAUGUGAUUGUGUUUGGAGAUAGGGUCGUUAAAGAGGUUAUUAGGGUAAAAUGAGGUUAUUGAGGUGGGUUUUAAUUUUAUAGGAUU